GCUGACACAUCCCGGCCAAUCUCCAUCAGACCCUCCCUCCCAGACCCUCCCUCCCAGAUCCUCCUACUUCCUGGACAGCAUCCAUGUUGAAGCAUCCAUGUUUCAACAUGGAUGCUGUCCAGGAAGUAGGAGGGUCUGGGAGGGAGGGUCUGCUGGAGAUUGGCUGGGACGUGUCAG
This is a non-coding RNA of Pelobates cultripes (western spadefoot toad), 177 nucleotides long. The record is from the annotation of a GenBank genome assembly. NCBI's taxonomy places the organism in Eukaryota, Metazoa, Chordata, Amphibia, Anura, Pelobatidae.